RNAcentral lists this ribosomal RNA (1074 nucleotides) under Bacillus zhangzhouensis. RNAcentral describes it as "bacterial SSU rRNA". It matches the Rfam family "Bacterial small subunit ribosomal RNA", at positions 209 to 1276 of the family's 1533-position model. The record is from RNAcentral. Lineage: Bacteria; Bacillati; Bacillota; Bacilli; Caryophanales; Bacillaceae.
CGGCUGUCACUUACAGAUGGACCCGCGGCGCAUUAGCUAGUUGGUGGGGUAAUGGCUCACCAAGGCGACGAUGCGUAGCCGACCUGAGAGGGUGAUCGGCCACACUGGGACUGAGACACGGCCCAGACUCCUACGGGAGGCAGCAGUAGGGAAUCUUCCGCAAUGGACGAAAGUCUGACGGAGCAACGCCGCGUGAGUGAUGAAGGUUUUCGGAUCGUAAAGCUCUGUUGUUAGGGAAGAACAAGUGCGAGAGUAACUGCUCGCACCUUGACGGUACCUAACCAGAAAGCCACGGCUAACUACGUGCCAGCAGCCGCGGUAAUACGUAGGUGGCAAGCGUUGUCCGGAAUUAUUGGGCGUAAAGGGCUCGCAGGCGGUUUCUUAAGUCUGAUGUGAAAGCCCCCGGCUCAACCGGGGAGGGUCAUUGGAAACUGGGAAACUUGAGUGCAGAAGAGGAGAGUGGAAUUCCACGUGUAGCGGUGAAAUGCGUAGAGAUGUGGAGGAACACCAGUGGCGAAGGCGACUCUCUGGUCUGUAACUGACGCUGAGGAGCGAAAGCGUGGGGAGCGAACAGGAUUAGAUACCCUGGUAGUCCACGCCGUAAACGAUGAGUGCUAAGUGUUAGGGGGUUUCCGCCCCUUAGUGCUGCAGCUAACGCAUUAAGCACUCCGCCUGGGGAGUACGGUCGCAAGACUGAAACUCAAAGGAAUUGACGGGGGCCCGCACAAGCGGUGGAGCAUGUGGUUUAAUUCGAAGCAACGCGAAGAACCUUACCAGGUCUUGACAUCCUCUGACAACCCUAGAGAUAGGGCUUUCCCUUCGGGGACAGAGUGACAGGUGGUGCAUGGUUGUCGUCAGCUCGUGUCGUGAGAUGUUGGGUUAAGUCCCGCAACGAGCGCAACCCUUGAUCUUAGUUGCCAGCAUUUAGUUGGGCACUCUAAGGUGACUGCCGGUGACAAACCGGAGGAAGGUGGGGAUGACGUCAAAUCAUCAUGCCCCUUAUGACCUGGGCUACACACGUGCUACAAUGGACAGAACAAAGGGCUGCGAGACCGCAAGGUUUAGCGAAUCCCA